GUGCUUGCUUUAGCUGCACAUACACUAAAUUAGAACAAUGCAGAGAAGAGUAGCAUGGUCCCCGCAUAAGGAUGACGUGCAAAUUCAUGAAGCAUUCCAUAUUUAA
This is a small nuclear RNA of Sciurus carolinensis (gray squirrel), 106 nucleotides long. The record is from RefSeq and is a predicted model, not a curated record. Lineage: Eukaryota; Metazoa; Chordata; Mammalia; Rodentia; Sciuridae.